Molecule: ribosomal RNA, 251 nt
Filed under: uncultured bacterium
Lineage: Bacteria
Description: partial 16S ribosomal RNA
Rfam family: Bacterial small subunit ribosomal RNA
Source: RNAcentral
CCAAGUCGUGAGGCGGAGCUAAUCCCUUAAAGCCAUUCUCAGUUCGGAUUGUAGGCUGAAACUCGCCUACAUGAAGCCGGAAUUGCUAGUAAUGGCAGGUCAGCAUACUGCCGUGAAUACGUUCCCGGGCCUUGUACACACCGCCCGUCACACCAUGAGAGUCGGUAACACCCGAAGUCGGUAGCCUAACCGUAAGGAGGGCGCCGCCGAAGGUGGGAUUGAUGACUGGGGUGAAGUCGUAACAAGGUACC